RNAcentral lists this long non-coding RNA (8362 nucleotides) under Xyrichtys novacula (pearly razorfish). Lineage: Eukaryota; Metazoa; Chordata; Actinopteri; Labriformes; Labridae. The record is from RNAcentral.
GACAUUCAGGCGGGUUGGUGUGAUUAGGAGACAGAGACGACGGCAGCUCCGUUUUCUGCUGGAGGCAGUUUGAUUACAGACACUUUGAUAAACAAGUAGGUGACACCUGGAGCGGAAAAUGUCCCUUGUCAAUUUGAUUCUCUCAUCUCUGUCCCCUCCUCACUUGUGCACACACAGCUGCACACACACAUUUUCUAAUAAUGCCUUAACUGUGGUCCUGAUGGAAAGCUGUAGACCGUGACUGCCCUAUAAUAACCUCAGACACCUUUACCUGCCCGCUGGAGCCCAUCUGUGAUCUGGUUCACAGAAAACCCAGUUUAACACCCAAGAGAUCGGUUUUAAUUUAAAUUUUAUCCUGAUAUACAGUUCCUGUCUUUAUUUUUUUGCAGAUAGUAACAAAUAUUUUAUUGGCACAUCAAUUUCAGAUAUUACAGGCGGGGCUGGUUAAAACCGAGUUAGAAGUUUUAAAGUCAGAGUUCUCAAAUAGAUAAAAGAAUACCUUACCUCCGAUUUCAUACCCUUUGUCUCUCAGUCGUGUUCAAUAAAAAAACGUAGCACGACCACUGCAGCCAUGAAAUGACAUUCUUGAAGCCCCAGACAGUAAACAGUGUUGCCUGUCUUGGUUUAUUGUAUUUUCCAAGGCUUUUGAUUCUGUUAACCACAGCAUCUUACUUAAAUGUCUUAAUGUCACUGGGUUUUCCAAACAUGCAGUUACAAAUCCACUUGGGGUACAACAAGGACAACAAUCAGUUCUGUGCCUGCUACUUUUUACUAUUCACGAAAGUUGUCUUGGACAGAAACUCUGCUUUUAAAUUUGAUUAUUAUGACUGUUAUUUAAGGCUGUAUGCAUACACCUGCUCAAGCUUUCUUAAAGAGGGGGUAUUAUGCUUUUUUUUUUCAGACUCUACUUCCUCUCUGGUACCUUUUUAAUAGUUUAAUGAUAGUGUCUGAAAUGCUUAAUUUUAGCUGCUGUCUCCUUAGGUUGAGUAUUGGAGUAUACCUAUGUCCAAAAGUCACAGAACUGAAUAAAAAAAGACAGGUGUAAAUGUUCAAUAUAUCUGCACUCUGGAAGAGACAAAAACUGAUAUUUUAUGUUUGGAUUCACAAUAAAACUUGAAACGUUUUAAAAUCAUCUGACCUGAAUUUGUAAAACAAACAAUGCAGUAUACAGAUAAGGCAGUGAUGUGAAAGUGGAAAAUCUGACUUAAAAAUCUGAUUUAAAAAAUAUCUGAUUUGCACAAACUCUUCUUGAUCCUCGUGGUGGAUUAGAUUUCUUUGUGCAUCAAUCUGGAAGAAACUUGCACACUGCACAUCUGAUUAAUUUUUAAGGUGUUGGGCAUCAUUUUUUAUAUGUUUUCACACAUUUACGCUCUCUAAGUUUCGUAAUGUUUUGUGUCUGAUGUGGACCUUGCUGGUUUUGAGAGCUUGCAAACCUAAAGGUUUUGAAAGCUCUUACUUUCCUUUAUUAAUAUUCAUCAUUUCAUCAAGCUUAAAGCUGCUUUCAGGGGCUUUAGGUUUGUGUUGGAUCUGGCGCCCCCUGUGGUCAAAGAGAUACCUCUUAUCUUUUGCCCUGUGCACGUAAAAGUUGUGUUUUCAGAUAAAUACCUCAUCCUGUUCUUUUUUAAUCAUGAAACACAUCCCUCACUGUUUGUGUACAUGUUUGAUUUAAAUGUAUUUGUUUGCAUUUCUUGCAGCCUGUUUUUCAUUUUCAGCCUGUUUCUGCUGAUGCACGAUUUUGACUCUUGUACGCUUCUUUCUGAAUUUGCAGCCUGUUUCUUUAAAUGGAAAUCCUUUUGCACACUGCAGCUUGAUUGUGAGUAGUGGCUACCUUACAUGCGGCACCUUCACCUGAACAUUUAUUACAUUACUUUUCUUCUUUUAUUUAUUGUGCAGUGUCUCAAUGGCUUAGCCCCUCUCACCUGACCAUGAGCCAACUCGUUUACCGGUCCAACAUGAAAGUAGCAAUUAGCUUCUGCAGCUCCUUCUGCUGUUCGUGACUCCCAUCCAAAAAGUCUGCAGAGUCUCCAAACAUAUUAACAAGAAACUCGAAGAUUCCAGCUGUUUCCUCUUUUGUUUCCAAACAAAAUCCCUCUGUUUGUGUGUGCUGAGCCGCUGCCACACCGACACAAUCGCACACACACACAUACACGCACACACACUCAGAGUUGGCUGAGGAGCCGAGGGCAUCUGGGAGUUGGAUUAGAAGCCAUGACAGGGAGAUGGAGGGGGGAUUACUCUGCCUGCCUGGGUUUGUUUGCAUGAGUGAGAGGGAAGGAGAGAAAAAAGAUUCAGAGGGGCUGAAUGUGUUGGCCUUGACGUCUGCUUCAUUAUUGGAAAACAACAACAGAGAAAAACCAGACGAGGGCUGAAAAAUACGUUUCAAACAGUUUGAGUGUAGAAAAGACUGAAGAUGAUCUUUCAGGGAAACAAAACCAGCGCUGAACAAAUCUCCUACAGCUUCGCAGGGAGAGAUGGAGAACAGAGGGAAAGAGUUAUCAUUGUAUCAAAUAACUGCAAAAAAAAAAUAGAAAAGUCCAGAUUUUUCUUCAAAAUCUGCAUCAGGCAAUUAAAUUUUUGGAUAGACUGUGGUAUUUUUGUUGUUUUCUUUCCAAUUAACAUCAGAGAAAAAUAAUAUUUUGAAUUCCUGUGAAUAAAAGUGUGAGCAGUGGGUUCAAAAACUCUUAGUUCCUAUUCGUCAGUAAAUCCUUGAAUUCCCCUCAAAGAAUAUUGCGUAAUUUGAAACAACUUUUAGGACAAAAUCAAAAAAUGUAAAACAACAAUGCUCAAGGUUCACAAAUUUACAGGUAACACAAAGUUUGAAAGUAAAACCAACAAGGGUGCAAACUUUACAACAGUAAAGGUGGGACAUAUUGAAGAUGAGUCUUUCCUUACAUGCUGGUUCUUCAUGACUAAAAGGGAUGAUAACAUAAGUGGUGAAUGAACUGGCAACCAAAUUUGUGGCAAAAUCUCUGUUCACAAAGCUCUGAGGAAUAACCACCUGACAAAACGGUCAGAUCUGCCUGGACACUUUUACGUUUCAACCAAUCAUUUAUCAGCACAUGUACAAGCUCUCUCACGUCUCCACACAUCUUUUCUUUUUUUUUUUACAUGCAAAAUAUAUUGAUACCGUGCUAAAAAAGCAUACAUCAAUGCCAUGACUUCAUAGCAGAGGUCUUUUUACUCAAGUUGUCAUACAUCAUAACACAGAAGAGAGACGAAGAGGAAGCAGCAGCAGCAUCUGCAGCAACCUUUUAAGAGAUAUGAUGUACCCAAAGUGGUAAACUUCAAAAUAAGAGCAUAGCAUCACAAUGCAGAAAAUAAACCUGGAUGCAAGACAAAAAUAUGUAAAAAUAAAAGCUUGAAAGGCAAUCCCUCAACAAGACAAUGUCAAAGAAGUGGAUGGUGACAUGUAAGCCAGUUGUUAAGUUAGUAAGGUGAUUAUUGUUCGUCAGUUUAUGGCGUAUUGUGUUCCUCCACCCUUGUCUCGACUCCUCUUGAUUUGACUGAUUGUAUUGCUUUACUUUCAAGUUUUGGCAUAAUAUUGUUAUUUUAAGAAAAACAUCAACUAAAGCUGGACUAAAAUUAGAUGAAUAUAAAAACUGUGUUCCACUGAUUGAUUCUGACUAAAGCUAAAUUAAAUUUUCCAUGAAAAAUAAAUGUUGGGGCACACAACAAUGGAGUGAUGGCAUAUUAAAGGGUGUAAUAUACUGUGUGAUAAGAGUCACAAUCAUAUAAAUAAUCAGUUAAUAUACUAAAAAUUCAUUCAUUGCAUAAAUCUCAUAACAUUUCCCUAGCUUCAUUUGGUUUAAUAAAGUCUGUUGUUAUUAAACCGAGCAGCAGAAACCGGGUUUCUUACAGCGGAUAUGAAUGUAAAUAUGUGACAACUAUUAUGACCAAACUGACUUCCUUUAGGAAGUUUCUGCUUCAUUUCAGAGCAUGAUGAGAAUUAUGGGGAAAAUUGUGCUCAUGUUUAAUUACUUUCCAGUUUGGCAAGUAAAUAUUUUGACGUCUGCGGGGCACGAGUGGCUGAGGAAGUCAGGGAAUUUAUCAUUUCUGAUCUGAAGAGCUGUAACUCCAAUAACCCUCCUCAGUGCCACAGAGCUCGACAUGCAGCAGCUUCAUAACAACAGAUGCCAAAACUAGGGAGGAGCUACAGGGCGUUUCUUUUUCCGUGAUUGCAGUGAAGGCAGCAAAAUCACAGGAGGAUCACCCUGCCAAAAACAAUUAAACUCACCAGAGGAAAAAAUACUCACUGUGACCAGCCCCUUAAAAUGCUUGAAUCUUUACACUUGAAUAUCCAUGUGUUUCAUCAGACUAUUUCAAAUACAAGGAAAAUAUACAGGACUGAGGAAUUAAAUGGACAAGUGUCAAAAACUGCAGUUCCAUCAAAGACCACUUGAGGCUGAUUCUAAAGAUGAGUCAGUCCUCUUAACGUGUCAUGUGAAAAUCCCCAAAUUUACACAUAAAUUUAAUGUUGCCAGAAAGGCUGAAUUGCAUGCACCUCACAAAACACACACCGCUCAUAGUAGAGUGGUCCACGGAAAUGUACAAUUUAAAACCCAUAUAACUCUUAUUUGUUGGGCGAAACAGUGAUGAGUAAUGUUCCUGAAGUAAUUCUCGGUGUAUAUGUGUUUCUCUGCACAACACCGGCAGCACCAGAGACUCACUCCAUGUGCAGGGGCGUGGGUUCCUCCUUUCUGAUUGUGAUUGAAGGCUGGUAGGGCAGUCUGAUUGGCAACUGAGUAAAGAACAAAUGUGAUUAGUGGAUCACAGCACAGCACAUGCAGAGUCACAUGCGGUGUAUCUCAGUCAGCUACCCUUGAAAUUAGAUGAGUUCAUUCACCUCCUACAUCACGAUGACGAUGCUUAACCGAUAUAUUGUGUAGCCCCAGUUGCCAGCCAGCUACAAACAUUAUAAUGAUACUUGGCUGAGGUCAUGAGUUCAGGUUGGACACCAGAACAAAAUUGGCUAAAAUCAACUCUAUCCCUAUGAUUGAUUUAAGUUCUGCAUGAACUAUAGUUUUUCCAAGCACUUAAUGGGUCAUGACCACAAUGAAGGUGCGGUUACAAGAGUAUAGGGUUGGAGUGGGUCGUAAUAAAAAGCCCCAAACCUCUGGGGAGGCCCCAGAGGAAUCCCAUCAGCUCCAUCGUUUGUAUGCUGCUGAUUGUCUUUCCAGCUUUUUCAAAUCAGGCUUGUGUUACUGAGCAUCUUCUCAGGAGUUUUUUUUUUAUUAUUAUUCUCACAUGUCAUUUACUGCAACUUAAGGAGCAGCAGCUGUACAGCAUCAAAGGAGGGAGGAUCAGGAAGAGUGGGCUUCGUUUGCAUUCAGGACAGCCUGUGUGGGUCUCAGCGAGGCAGCAAAGACUCGUGACUGAAUGAACUACACCUCUCUGUUUCCAUAGACUGCUCCCAUUCAUCACUCUGUAACAACUGCCCCUAGAGUUCAGCCAAUCACAAAGAUCUUCUCCCAUUAUUCUGAAGUUAUCCUCAACCUUUUCUUCUUUGCUUGAGAACAAAGCAUGUAUUUGUACAUCGACAUGAGAAUAGAGUGUGGUUAUAUUAUUGACAAUUGUGACUAUGUCUUGAGAUUUAGCAGACUCACCAACCGCAGACUCUCAAGAUGUACACUGAGACACAAGUCACCAGCUUUACCAGGUGUAAUGCAAAAUCUGUUUUGUAGUAGUAUUGUAGCAUGUAGUAUUUCUGUUCUUUUUUUAGCUUUUUCCUGUUGCAUAUAUAGGCUGAAUUCAGGUGAAAGCAGCAUCAAGAACAGCUCAUUUAUCAGCGUCACUCAUCCUCUCUAUGUUGUUGCAUCCAGGGGAGCAGAGAUGUUUCUCUCAGUCAGUGAGGCGGGAUUGUGAGACAUUCGCUCUGCAGUUUGUAAAGGGUUUUCCAACUCAAACAGAUUAAGAUCUUAAAAUUACCAGGGAAGGGGGACAGCUCUCUACAUCCGUCCCCCAAGGACUGCAGAUUUAGCCUCAGAUUUAGACGCCAGCUAAUAGCUGCAGCAUCCUCCCUUUCCCUCAAACUGACUCUGAUUUCCGUGAUGAAAAGUAGCUGUAAAGAGACAAAGACGAUGACUGAAAUUCAUGAAGAUAUCCAAAAGAGAGCACAUGAACUCCUCCCCUUUGAUUUGAAAUUUAUUAAUCUAAAAUGUGUCUCCAGUCUGGAAAAAGUAAGAGCAGCUAAGAUGAAGUAUGUCCGUGUUGACUUUUAAGCCCUCCUGCACACAGGCGACUACCUUCCCUGCAGCUGAAAAAUUGACCUUCAGUGCAAUAUCCCCCUGCUGGAGUUGAGGAAAGUUCAGCCUCAUCUUUCAGCAGCUGUUUUUUUUUUUUUCUGCUCAGGCAUACUCUGCUGAGAAAUUCUCACCUUCAAGCUUUAUCUAUAAGGGCUGUUGACUUUCCAGCUAACAGAUCUGCUCUUGAUUCCUGGAAAUGCAAACAGCUCCACAAGGGAACGUCUGCUGGAAAAAUGAAGCAAUCUUCCCCUUUGCCAGGCGACAGGUGAGACUGAGCGCCCGCUGAGUUUACAGCCAAUACGAUAUAAACAACAACGUCCUAGGCUUGAAGAUCUAUGAAUGGUUUUAUACGAAUAAAACAAAAUCCUUAUCAACUACAGGCAAAGACAGCCAGUGAAGAAUACGUCUGGCUGAGUUUAGUAUUUUUCUUCUUGUCUACAAAUCCUUCAAACAAGCCCGAACCAAUAAUAUAUAUAUCAUAAAACAAAUAUGUGUGUGUGUAUGUCAGACUGAUAUAUCUCAUUCCUCUCUGUCACAAGCCUCUACUGUUGCACACAUACUAUAAAGAGCCCAACAGCUGCACGCAGCAACCUGUUCCUACAUUAAAGAGAUACUUCAGACUUUUUUGUGUGAGCUGUGGGUUAAUGUAUGAGCCACAAUGGAUGUCAGUCAUCUCAGCAGCUUUCAUGAAAAACUGCCAGUAGAAAUGGGAUGUUUGGUAUGCUACAGUUUUCUGCAGAUGGGGUCGAUGGGUUAAGCGUGUGCUCAACUAAGACAUUUUUUCAUCGCUUUACUUUGCCCUCAGAAAGUCUGUGUGUUUUUGCACUAUUUGCAGAUGCAACACAUGGAUGUGCUCCUGAUGUCAUGAUAUGAUCUGGUUUUUAGUUUUUCCCUGGAGUGUAUUUUCUUUGUGAUUGUCCCCAGUGUUUCUGUUCCCUUUUGUUCCUGUUCCCCUGUAGUCUUGUCUUGUGAGUUUACAGUUUGUUUCUGACCCCGGUUCCCUCAUGUUCUCACUGUUUUAUUCCUUGUAUCAGUUUUCAGUGUUUCCUGUCUUAUUUUGAAGUAGUUUAUUUCCUGUUUCUAGUCUUGUUUUACUUCCUCAGUUUUCCCUCCUUAGUAAUUGUCUGCACCUGUGUCUCAGUGUCUCACCUGCCUCUCGUUGCUCGUUUCCCUGUGUGUAUAUAUAGUCCCUGUCUUCCCCUGUUUGUUCAUUGUGAAUGUGUUGUAUGUCUGCAUGCCAGUGGCUCCUUGUGUUUUUUUUACCUUUGGGAAUUUUUCUGUUUGAUGUUAAAGUAAGUUUUUGUUGCUGUUUAUUUAGUUAAUUUUGAAUAAAUCAUUUUUGUUCUGCACUUGGGUCGUUCCCCCUUUUGUUUCACCCUGAAAUGUGACACCUGAUUUAUUUUUAUUUACACUACACUUUGAAAAUAUAAAUUUUACAAAAUGUUUGAAAGGGCCAGCUGACCAUUUAGGCACUUUUUUUUAACCAUAUAUAAUCAGUGUUAAAUAUCAUGAUGUGAUCUUCCCUUGUUCUGCAUCUGUCUGUACAUAUUAAAAGUCAGAGAUGUCCGUUUUGGGCAACUUGCUCAAUUUCUGCAAUUUGUGCCACAUCAUUUGUAUCUUGCCCAACAAGAGCUUGCAUUUAAUCACAUUAGCAAAGUCGAUGCAUGUAAUCAUUUUAUUUGCAUCCAGUGUGAGCCUCUUAAAAGUCCCUCUUUGUCCUUCUAACACUUUUUCACGUUUGAAUUUCUAUCGAGGGCUAAAAUGCUUCGAGAGUUACUUUUAUUGUUGCGCAGAUCCAGUCAUGACUUUGUGGGGAAAUUCAGCAAAUAUUUCAGGUGAAAUCACAGUUUUUCUUUUCUUUACAAAGACUGUUAUCUUUUAUCAGGAGCACCUGUCACCAUCCUGUUUCAUCGGCCUACUCAAGGUGAAUCUAAUCGUGUUGAGACUUUUGGUUGUUGCUGAAUGAAGAAGGUCAACUCUUCAGAUGAGCCCGCACCUCCCACUGACCUCCAGAUCAAGAGGCUCUGAGUGAAGUAUUGUAAAAUCAAUAACAACUUCUGAUUGGAAGAGACUUGUGACAUACGAUGACAUACAACUGUCCACCUAAUGAAAGGUCGGAG